Molecule: ribosomal RNA, 491 nt
Filed under: uncultured bacterium
Lineage: Bacteria
Description: bacterial SSU rRNA
Rfam family: Bacterial small subunit ribosomal RNA
Source: RNAcentral
AAUGAACGUUGGCGGCAUGGAUUAGGCAUGCAAGUCGAGCGAGAAGGUUAUGAUUGACGCUUCGGUUGAUUUCAUAACUGGACAGCGGCGCAAGGGUGAGUAACGCGUAGUUAUCUGCCCGAGGGUUCGGGAUAGCCACGGGAAACUGUGGGUAAUACCGAAUAACAUCUCCGGAUCAAAGGUGUGAUUCCGCCCUCGGAGGGGACUGCGUUCUACUAGCUUGUUGGUGGGGUAAUGGCCUACCAAGGCUUUGAUGGAUAGCGGGCGUGAGAGCGUGGCCCGUCACACUGGGACUGAGACACUGCCCAGACACCUACGGGUGGCUGCAGUCGAGAAUCUUCGGCAAUGGGCGAAAGCCUGACCGAGCAAUGCCGCGUGCGGGAUGAAGGCCCUCGGGUUGUAAACCGCGAAAGUGAGGAGGAAGGGCCCGUGAAGAGCGGGUCUUGACCGAUACACAGUAAGGACGGGCUAAGUUCGUGCCAGCGCCGCGG